RNAcentral lists this ribosomal RNA (633 nucleotides) under Bacillus thuringiensis serovar pirenaica. RNAcentral describes it as "bacterial LSU rRNA". It matches the Rfam family "Bacterial large subunit ribosomal RNA", at positions 2297 to 2925 of the family's 2925-position model. Lineage: Bacteria; Bacillati; Bacillota; Bacilli; Caryophanales; Bacillaceae. The record is from RNAcentral.
GUAACGGAGGCGCCCAAAGGUUCCCUCAGAAUGGUUGGAAAUCAUUCGUAGAGUGCAAAGGCAUAAGGGAGCUUGACUGCGAGACCUACAAGUCGAGCAGGGACGAAAGUCGGGCUUAGUGAUCCGGUGGUUCCGCAUGGAAGGGCCAUCGCUCAACGGAUAAAAGCUACCCCGGGGAUAACAGGCUUAUCUCCCCCAAGAGUCCACAUCGACGGGGAGGUUUGGCACCUCGAUGUCGGCUCAUCGCAUCCUGGGGCUGUAGUCGGUCCCAAGGGUUGGGCUGUUCGCCCAUUAAAGCGGUACGCGAGCUGGGUUCAGAACGUCGUGAGACAGUUCGGUCCCUAUCCGUCGUGGGCGUAGGAAAUUUGAGAGGAGCUGUCCUUAGUACGAGAGGACCGGGAUGGACGCACCGCUGGUGUACCAGUUGUUCUGCCAAGGGCAUAGCUGGGUAGCUAUGUGCGGAAGGGAUAAGUGCUGAAAGCAUCUAAGCAUGAAGCCCCCCUCAAGAUGAGAUUUCCCAUAGCGUAAGCUAGUAAGAUCCCUGAAAGAUGAUCAGGUUGAUAGGUUCGAGGUGGAAGCAUGGUAACAUGUGGAGCUGACGAAUACUAAUAGAUCGAGGACUUAACCAUAUAA